Triticum aestivum (bread wheat) is the source of this 115-nucleotide non-coding RNA. Lineage: Eukaryota; Viridiplantae; Streptophyta; Magnoliopsida; Poales; Poaceae. The record is from Rfam.
UAGGUACUCCCUCCGUUUGAAAUUAUUUAUCACAAAAAUAAAUGUAUCUACAACUAAAAUAUAUGUAGAUACAUUCAUUUUUUCGAUGAGUAUUUUCGAACAGAGGGAGUACUUA